RNAcentral lists this ribosomal RNA (3188 nucleotides) under Triticum aestivum (bread wheat). Its description in RNAcentral is "partial small subunit ribosomal RNA". Lineage: Eukaryota; Viridiplantae; Streptophyta; Magnoliopsida; Poales; Poaceae. The record is from RNAcentral.
AUGGCGCACCACGCGACCAUCUACUCAGCGGCAGCCGCGCUGCUGCUGAUGCUGCUUCAGCUCUCCGCCGGAGCAGCAGCAGCACAAGCGCCAAGAGGGAUGCCCGGCUGCCACACAAGCUGCGGCAACAUAAGAGUGCCGUACCCGUUCGGCAUGGGCCCGUCCUACUGUUACAUGCCGGGGUUCAACCUCACAUGCGACCGGUCAAGCAACCCACCGCGGCUCCUCCUCGGGGACGGCACGCUGCGGGUCUCCAAAGAUAUCGACCCCAGUUAUUCCGGGUUAACCGUCGUCUACACUGGCGGCAUCAAAAUCGACGGUGGCGGCCAAGGCAGGCUCGGCGGCGGCCUCGGCAACGAUUGUCCCUACCGACUGUCGGGAGGGAACUACCUCAUCCUCUUGGGCUGCAACGUGCGAGCGACGUUGAGGAAUGGCAACAUCACCAUGAGCAGUUGCUCCUCUGUCUGCUCAAAUGACUACGACGGGCGCACCUCCACCUCCCACAUGCCAUCCAGGCUCUCCAGCCCGCAGAAAGGCUUGCUAUGCUCCGGCGAAGGCUGCUGCCAGGCACCCAUCGUCCUCAACCACGGGGGACUGGCCGGAUCAAAGGAGCUGGUACCCAUGUCGUGGAGCUGGAGUCUUUCGAGUGGAACCGCAGCGCCGUCCGGAAAUUGCCCACGCGCGUCUUCGUCGCCACGUACGGCUGGUUCGCGGCAUGGAGCUUCUCGCACCAGCUUUCCACGCCAUCCUCAUCGACCGAAGUUCCCAUCUGGCUCGAUUGGGAAGUGAUGGAUGGCCACAAGGACGACGAAGAUCAGCUGCAGAGUUCGGAGAAGUGUCCUAGGAACUUGGCCCGUAGAGUCUGCAGGAGCGACAAAGCGUACUGCGGUAGAGGUUCGACAGGCGGCUACUGGUGCUCCUGCAGUAAAGGCUACAUGGGCAAUCCCUACAUCAGCAACGGAUGCCAAGACAUCGACGAGUGUGAGCAUUCAGAAUUCAACAUCCACAACUGCUAUGGUCAGUGUACCAAUACGGAUGGUUCGUUUCAGUGCCGUUGCCCAAACGGAACCCGCGGGGACCCGUACAUCCCUGGUGGCUGCUUCAGUUUCCUCACUGAUAAUUGUAGCAUGUCCUGUGGCAAUCUGAGUGUGCCAUACCCGUUUGGCAUAGGCCCGGCCAAGUGCUAUGUGCCAGGGUUCAAGCUCACUUGUGACACCAGCCACCGCCCUCCGCGACUGAUGCUAGGCCGACUCCAAGUCGUCGAUAUCUCCCUCCGCAAGAACACCAUCCGAGUCAUCAACAUUGACCGAGUCUCUAGAUUCGAUGAUUUCAUACGCAGUUUUAAUGGCAUCAGCUUUGGGAUCGGCCCGGGAGAGGCGGUGCCCUACUCGCUGUCUACCCACAAUGAGCUCAUCCUCAUGGGGUGCAAUGUGCAGGCGGUGUUGUCCAACACUGGGAAGAACCGGGAAAUCCUUAGUGGUUGCUCCUCCUUCUGCCCCACAAACAAGAAUGUAACCUAUGAUACCGCGGCAGCUUCUAGCAUGGAUGAUAAGGAGUACUGCUAUGGCAUGGGCUGCUGCCAAGCACACAUCUCCACGUCUAGGGAUGGCAUGCCGAGUGAAUUAUGGGUUGAUUGGAUAGACCCCAACAUGUACUCGGUUAGGCUAUUGCCGCUGUCAUACGUGUUCAUCGCCGCAGAAGGGUGGUUCAACAAGAGUUGGGUCUCUGCCCAGCUUCCGGAGUCGUCAUGGACAAACGGUCUAGGACCUAGACUGAAGGUUCCCACUAUUCUAGACUGGGAGAUCUUGCAACUGCAACCAACCAGCUCGCAGCAGCUAGCCAAUGUGAGCAUACCACAGCGGAAAACACAAUAUAUCAAGUGUCCUGGCAUAUGUAGGAGCAAGAACAGUCUCUGCAAACCAAUGAUCAGAGGCUACUCGUGUCAAUGUAGUGAGGGUUACGACGGCAAUGCCUAUCUCAUCGAUGGAUGCAAAGGUGUUGGUCGCAAACGCUUUAAAGGCAUGAGCAGCGUCAUAGGAGUUGCUGCUGGAGCUGGACUAGUAUUAUUGUUUCUUGCUGUAUUUUUCAUUAUGAAGAAACUAAAACAUGGGAGGUCUCAAAUGUUAAAACGUAAGUUCUUCGAACAAAAUCGCGGCCAGCUUUUGCAACAAUUGGUAUCCCAAAGUGCUGGCAUUGCAGAAAGAAUGAUCAUAAACUUAGAAGAGCUAGAGAAGGCAACUCAUCGCUUUGAUAAAGAUCUUGUGGUUGGUGGCGGAGGACAUGGUAUUGUUUACAAAGGGAUAUUAUCAAACCAACAUAUUGUGGCAAUCAAGAAACCGAAGAAGGUGUUGAAGAAGGAGAUCGAUGAGUUUAUCAAUGAGGUAGCUAUCCUAUCACAAAUAAACCAUAGAAAUGUCGUAAAACUCUAUGGUUGUUGCCUUGAAACCGAAGUACCAAUGUUAGUCUAUGAGUUCAUAUCUAAUGGGACACUUUAUGAGCAUCUUCAUGUCGAGGGACCAAAAUCCUUGUCUUGGGAUGACAGGUUGCGCAUAGCCAUUGAGGCAGCAAAAUCAUUGGCCUAUCUUCACUUAGCUGCUUCAGCACCUAUCAUCCAUAGGGAUGUCAAGUCUGCUAACAUACUUUUGGAUGAUACUCUGACAGCAAAGGUAGCAGAUUUUGGAGCUUCAAGGUACAUCCCGAUGGAUAUAUCUGGGGUUACAACAAGGGCUCAAGGUACGAGAGGGUAUUGGGAUCCUGUGUACUUUUACACAGGGCGGCUAACUGAGAAAAGUGAUGUAUAUAGCUUCGGGGUCGUCCUUGUGGAACUGCUAACCAGGAAGAAACCAUUUUCAUAUUUGUCCUCGGACGAUGAGAGUCUUGUUGCACACUUUGCUACCCUGUUUGAAAAAGGUCAAUUGCCACAGAUAUUAGAUCCACAAGUCAUCGAGGAAGGAGGCAAAAAAGUGGAAGAAGUGGCUACUAUCGCGGUUUCCUGCAUAAAACUGAGCAGAGAGGAUCGCCCGACCAUGAGGCAAGUGGAGUUGACACUAGAAGGCACACAUGCAUCUACAGGGAAACCUUCGAAUAAUACAUCUCCAUUUCCAAAAGUUGAAAGCAACCCUAGGGGGUCGAUCAGGCGGUACAGUAUGGAACUUGAGUUCAGGUUAUCUGCAGAGCACCCUCGGUAG